Non-coding RNA from Pelobates cultripes (western spadefoot toad), 334 nucleotides. The record is from the annotation of a GenBank genome assembly. NCBI's taxonomy places the organism in Eukaryota, Metazoa, Chordata, Amphibia, Anura, Pelobatidae.
GCCAGGAGUAACAAAACUAAAAGCACAGUUGAAUUUCUGAAGAUCGGCUAUUUUGACCUUAAAUUUGGAAGUCACUUUGAAUUCUCACCUUAGUAAAUAACACUGCCGGUAUAAGUUUUAAGAAAUAUAAACAAAACUGCUGGUAUGCCACUUAAAUCCUCACCAUAAUAUCCGAGUGACACCGAUUCACUCAUUAAUGGUGUCUCAGAAAGGAAUAAUCUCACAGUUAUUCACUGAAGUGAGAAUUCAAGGUCAAAACUAACCAAAACGGAAACAUUCUCAAAGUCAGCUGUGCUUUCAGUUCAUCUGUUCUGGCUGUGAAAUUCACCUUGAA